UACGGGGGGAGCAAGCGUUGUUCGGAUUUACUGGGCGUAAAGGGCGCGUAGGCGGCGUAACAAGUCAAUUGUGAAAUCUCCGGGCUUAACCCGGAGCGGCCAAGUGAUACUGUUGGGCUAGAGUGCGGAAGGGGCUACUGGAAUUCUCGGUGUAGCGGUGAAAUGCGUAGAUAUCGAGAGGAACACCUGCGGCGAAGGCGGGUAGCUGGGCCGACACUGACGCUGAGGCGCGAAAGCCAGGGGAGCGAACGGG
RNAcentral lists this ribosomal RNA (253 nucleotides) under uncultured bacterium. Its description in RNAcentral is "partial 16S ribosomal RNA". It matches the Rfam family "Bacterial small subunit ribosomal RNA", at positions 524 to 776 of the family's 1533-position model. The record is from RNAcentral.